This is a long non-coding RNA of Passer domesticus (house sparrow), 1817 nucleotides long. RefSeq lists it as uncharacterized. The transcript has 3 exons. NCBI's taxonomy places the organism in Eukaryota, Metazoa, Chordata, Aves, Passeriformes, Passeridae. The record is from RefSeq and is a predicted model, not a curated record.
AGGAGUAGUCUGGGGAUGCAGGAGAAAGUGAGAGGAGACAUCGCUGGAACAGCUGACCUAAGUUGACCUAAGGGAUACCCCAUACCAUAUUAUGUCAUUCUCAGCAAUAAAAGAUGGGGGAGAAAAGGAGGAAGGAGGUGAUGUUCUGAAUACAACAUCUGAUUGCCCAAAACUGUUUGUCCCUGCUAUGCUACAGUGUGGUGAGUUCCACAUUCCUUGAAAUGGCUGAUCAUCUGCCUAGCAAUGAGAGCAAGUUGCUGUGUGGUGCUGAGCUGCCUACUGGAGUUAAGCUACAACAGUCCUUUAGGGAACCCAGGGUACCUACUAGAAAGAUGUAAGGACAAUAUAUUAAUCAUAAUGACAUAACAUUGAAAUGAAGGUCUGUCAAAAGAAGGGGAGUAAGACACUGUGUAAUUUGUCUUGCACAAGUGAAGUCCAGCCUUCUGGUAUCUGAAGAUAUUUAAAAACUACAGAAAAUAAAACAAUUCCCUCUACCACUGUUUGGAAGAACUUGACACAGAUGAAUAAACAGCAUAAAGGAAUGUAUGAGUAUGUCUGGGUGAAACACUCUCAAGAUUUAGGUCAAAAUAAGCUUGAAAAUUCACUUGAUGCAUUUGAAAAUCCAUGUUGAGUAGAAAUGAAUCAAUAGUAAGUACAGGAAAUAACACAUCAAGAUGUAUCAAGCUUGGGUUUCUACAACUCCAUUCUAUAAUAGAUCUAUUGCCUGCAAACUUGGAGAGCUACCAGCUGCCUGUUUUCAAGACAAGCAGACCAGGCUUCCCACAAGCUGACAGCACAAUUUAGCAACAGCAUGGAUAUAAUCUUCAGAAAAAAGACUAAGCAGUUUAAUACUUAUUUCAGGACAUAUUUGAGUCUGAAUUGUUUAUUUUAUUAUUAUUUUCCUCCUGACCCAGUUUUUUUAAUGACAUUUUUGUUUCCAGAGGUUCAAUGUUAGACAAAAUACAAACAUAAAAGAUAAAACAGAAGCUCACCACCACUUAUUUUUGGUUAAAUGAAUUAUUGUCUUUUAAAAACCAAGCAAUAGUCCACAAUGCCACUCAGUCAUCAACAAUCAUUUGUUCCUUCACUUAUUCUUAAGGAGGAUUCAUUUCCCACUGACAUUAAUGACUAAGCUGCAGCAGUUUUCAAGGAAAAUAAAAGCAGGUAUCUUUAGCAUCCAGGAUGUCAUAUGUAUUGAAAAUGUGGAAUGAAAAAAGAUAUUUCAAUCAGAAAAAAAAUCUAGCCAUAAAUAUAAUCCAAAAAGUAUACUAGACAUCUAUCCAUCAAAACCAAACAAAAUCACCGUCUAUGAUAAUUUUUGCCUUGUCUUACUCCAAUACAGUUUUUCCCAUUUCCUUUGUUUCUGCUGAUUAAUAAAAAGAUAGAGAUUAAAUGAACAUAUUUUUUUUUACUAAAAGAGUCUUGAGAUUCCCUUAAGCCCAUAAGUAUUUUGAAUUUUCUCAUUUAAAAACUUUUAUUAAAAUACACCAAGGAUUAAUAGGAAGUGCCACACUUGCAACAAAAAUUUCAGAUGUUUGAUUUUCUUUCUUCAUAUUUAUAAUUGUUUUGUAAAGGAAAUAGCAUAGAUAUUGCAUAUCUAUGAUAUAUCUAUAUUUUUUGAAUAUUUUUUAAAAAAAUAUAAUACUUUGUAUCAUUAUAUGUAAAAUAGUUAUUUAUUUUACAACUACUACUGAAUAUAGUAGUUCAAAUUACACAAUAAUUAAGCUUGGUAGGAGUAUAAGCAUAGUAAAUAUUUUGUUUCCUCUGUCAUUUGCUUGAGUUAAUGUUCAGCAUAACUUUUCCACUACACUGUUUCA